RNAcentral lists this long non-coding RNA (239 nucleotides) under Gallus gallus (chicken). The record is from RNAcentral. Lineage: Eukaryota; Metazoa; Chordata; Aves; Galliformes; Phasianidae.
CACGCCUGGAUCUUCAGAGGUGGUGAUGAACAAGUGCCUGGAUGCUUGUAAAGAUCUGCAUGAGCAGAGGUGAUCCACUGUUGCCACUGCUGAAAUGCAUCUCUCACCACCUCAGCGUUCUCACAUCUACUGUUUGAUCUUCAUAAAUGUUCGGCAAGUGUUGAAUAUCAAUGGGUGCUAUUUUUCUACAUGGAGAAAUUCAGUGAUGCUCCUUUGCUUCAUAUGCACUUCUGUAUCAG